Molecule: ribosomal RNA, 726 nt
Filed under: Acinetobacter guillouiae
Lineage: Bacteria; Pseudomonadati; Pseudomonadota; Gammaproteobacteria; Moraxellales; Moraxellaceae
Description: bacterial SSU rRNA
Rfam family: Bacterial small subunit ribosomal RNA
Source: RNAcentral
AGAGUUUGAUCAUGGCUCAGAUUGAACGCUGGCGGCAGGCUUAACACAUGCAAGUCGAGCGGGGGAUAUUGCUUCGGUAAUUGACCUAGCGGCGGACGGGUGAGUAAUACUUAGGAAUCUGCCUAUUAAUGGGGGACAACAUCUCGAAAGGGAUGCUAAUACCGCAUACGCCCUACGGGGGAAAGCAGGGGAUCACUUGUGACCUUGCGUUAAUAGAUGAGCCUAAGUCGGAUUAGCUAGUUGGUGGGGUAAAGGCCUACCAAGGCGACGAUCUGUAGCGGGUCUGAGAGGAUGAUCCGCCACACUGGGACUGAGACACGGCCCAGACUCCUACGGGAGGCAGCAGUGGGGAAUAUUGGACAAUGGGGGGAACCCUGAUCCAGCCAUGCCGCGUGUGUGAAGAAGGCCUUAUGGUUGUAAAGCACUUUAAGCGAGGAGGAGGCUCCUGUAGUUAAUACCUACAGUGAGUGGACGUUACUCGCAGAAUAAGCACCGGCUAACUCUGUGCCAGCAGCCGCGGUAAUACAGAGGGUGCGAGCGUUAAUCGGAUUUACUGGGCGUAAAGCGUGCGUAGGCGGCUUUUUAAGUCGGAUGUGAAAUCCCCGAGCUUAACUUGGGAAUUGCAUUCGAUACUGGGAAGCUAGAGUAUGGGAGAGGAUGGUAGAAUUCCAGGUGUAGCGGUGAAAUGCGUAGAGAUCUGGAGGAAUACCGAUGGCGAAGGCAGCC